Nitrobacter hamburgensis X14 is the source of this 66-nucleotide transfer RNA. It matches the Rfam family "tRNA", at positions 10 to 63 of the family's 71-position model. From Rfam's summary of the family: Transfer RNA (tRNA) molecules are approximately 80 nucleotides in length. Lineage: Bacteria; Pseudomonadati; Pseudomonadota; Alphaproteobacteria; Hyphomicrobiales; Nitrobacteraceae. The record is from Rfam.
GUUUUCCUACCGUGAAGCAUUGGAACGUCAGGCUGACAACCUGAAGGUCAUAGGUUCAAAUCCUAU